This is a long non-coding RNA of Pezoporus flaviventris, 1657 nucleotides long. RefSeq lists it as uncharacterized. The record is from RefSeq and is a predicted model, not a curated record. NCBI's taxonomy places the organism in Eukaryota, Metazoa, Chordata, Aves, Psittaciformes, Psittacidae. The transcript has 3 exons.
CCACCACCACAGCAUCAUGUCUUGCUGCAGCUACUGGCAUAUCCUGUCCAACCCCAUCCCCCAAUAUGACUGCAUUACAAACAAGGCUAGAAAGGCAACAACAAAAUUUAAGGACCGCACUGAAGAUGAGCAGGGAAAAAAAUACCCAUCACCAAACAAACAAAGAAAGGACACACACUCUCAGGAAGAGCAGCAUGCAGACCACAAAGGGCAUUCCUGGAAGGACCUCCACGUAGAGAUAGCCCCGUUUCAGCACGUGCAAUUGCAGAACGUGUGGCUGAAACAACUCUGCUGCAGAGAAGAGCUGGGACUCCCUGCGCCGUGUCUCCAGCACAAGUCCCCGCUGUCACAUCAAGGUGGCCAGCCUGCUGCUUCUAUCUUAUCCACAAUGGACAGAAAGAAGAGAUUACACCUUUCUCUCCUGAAGCACUCUUGUAAUUACAUGAAAAGGGAUCGUAUGACCCCUGAGUCACCUCUCCUCUAAGUUAAACCAACCCUGGCUUUUGUUCAGCAUUCCUUGUAAGUCCUGCUGCCUGUGUCACUUGUUUGUGCUGAGAUAGGCCUGCCUGCCGGAUAAAGCAAAAAUGCAGCAGCCUGCCUUCUCAUCAGAGCUGAGCUGUGAUUACUGCAGCUACCUGUCUCCAAGCAUGAAGAAAAUGUUCCUGGCUUAUAGGCCACCACUUUUUGGGCCACAGACCUAGAAAUACCUAGCUCUCCUGCUGCCAGUCUGUCCAGACCUAGGCAAACUGAACCCCAAUUUAUAGCUCCUUCAUUUGACAGGCAGGUCUAGAAAUAACAAUUUGCUUAACUUAGACACAGCACAAACAAGGUAAUGUGAAAUUGCAGAUUGUACAAAUGUGGUAAAAUCUGGUGGGGAUGCUCACUGUUAUGACAGACUUUCAUGUAGAUAGGUGUUCCCUCUUGAAAGUUAUUUUAAAAAAAUUUGGUCUGAAAUUCUACAGGUGUCUUUAAAAACUCAGAGAAUGACGACAUCAAACUGCUGUGAUACCAGUAGCUUCCAAAUAAAUGUGGGGACUUCAGAACACCAGGAAUCUCAUGGGUAAGCACUGCUAUUUGAAAGCCCUUCGACUGAACGAUUAAACCAAUUUGCCUAACGUUGCUGUGACUCACGGGUUUCCUAGUAUCAAGCUGUUUGAGCCUGCUGGGAGGAUUCUCACUAUAGUGUAUUCCUUCUCCCUAGAGGAUGAUUACAAGUAUCAGAAUGAUUUCUGGUGCAGGCUGGUGUUUUAAUAUUUUGUAUCAGUGUGGGAGAGAUCCACGUGGAAUCACUCAAAUGCUUACUGUUACAACUUUUCCUCCAGGCUGGAAUUUCAUACACAAUCAACCUUCCUUCAGCUGUACUGGCCAAGAGACUCUGUACCAAAGCUUCGCAUGGAGUUUUACAGGCUUCCUAACUUAAAAAGAGAAGGAUUUGGUUUGCUGUGGGUUUAAUGCAUUAAAUUAUAAGAGAGAACUCUCUGCAAUUAUAAUGAAAGAGCACUGAUUCAAAGCAUUUUCUGGGUCUUCUACACACCCAUCUGGACAUAUUUAACUUGAAGAAAUCCAGAAAUAGUGAGGGCAUUUUAAAAGACACAAACAUUGCUUGUUUUUACUCUUUAUUGAAAGAAUGAGUCCCACAUAGGUAAAGGUAAGCUAG